GAUGAACGCUGGCGGCGUGCUUAACACAUGCAAGUCGAACGAGAAGUGAAGACGGAAACCUUCGGGCGGAAGGCUUUAUUUCGAGUGGCGGACGGGUGAGUAACGCGUGGGUAACCUGCCUCAUACAGGGGGAUAACAGUUGGAAACGACUGUUAAUACCGCAUCAGACCACAGCACCGCAUGGUGCGGGGGUAAAAACUCCGGUGGUAUGAGAUGGACCCGCGUUCGAUUAGCCAGUUGGCGGGGUAACGGCCCACCAAAGCGACGAUCGAUAGCCGAUCUGAGAGGAUGACCGGCCACAUUGGGACUGAGACACGGCCCAAACUCCUACGGGAGGCAGCAGUGGGGAAUAGUGCACAAUGGGGGAAACCCUGAUGCAGCGACGCCGCGUGAGUGAAGAAGUAUUUCGGUAUGUAAAGCUCUAUCAGCAGGGAAGAAAAUGACGGUACCUGAGUAAGAAGCCCCGGCUAACUACGUG
Molecule: ribosomal RNA, 478 nt
Filed under: uncultured bacterium
Lineage: Bacteria
Description: partial 16S ribosomal RNA
Rfam family: Bacterial small subunit ribosomal RNA
Source: RNAcentral